RNAcentral lists this ribosomal RNA (572 nucleotides) under Corynebacterium striatum. RNAcentral describes it as "partial 23S ribosomal RNA". It matches the Rfam family "Bacterial large subunit ribosomal RNA", at positions 204 to 739 of the family's 2925-position model. Lineage: Bacteria; Bacillati; Actinomycetota; Actinomycetes; Mycobacteriales; Corynebacteriaceae. The record is from RNAcentral.
CAGUACCCGUAGGAGAAGAAAAUAAUAAUGAUUCUGCUAGUAGUGGCGAACGAACGUGGAUGAGGCUAAACCGUGUGCAUGUGAUACCUGGUAGGGGUUGUGUGUGCGGUGUUGUGGGCCCUGAUGAGGAUGGCUACUGACGUCCUGCCCGCGCAUUGUUGUUAGGUGAAGUGGUGUGGAAACGCCUGCCGUAGAAGGUGAUAGUCCUGUAGCUGAAGAUGAUGGUGUGUGGGUUGUUGGGUUGCCCGAGUAGCAGCGGGCUCGUGGAAUCUGCUGUGAAUCUGCCGGGACCACCCGGUAAGCCUAAAUACUCAGUGUGACCGAUAGUGGAUAGUACCGUGAGGGAAUGGUGAAAAGUACCCCGGGAGGGGAGUGAAAUAGUUCCUGAAACCAUGUGCUUACAAUCCGUCAGAGCACUUUUUGUGUGUGAUGGCGUGCCUUUUGAAGAAUGAGCCUGCGAGUCAGCGGCAUGUCGCGAGGUUAACCCGUGUGGGGUAGCCGUAGGGAAACCGAAUCCUAAUGGGGUGUUUAGUGGCAUGUCCUGGACCCGAAGCGGGGUGAUCUACCCAUGG